This 30-nucleotide non-coding RNA is filed under the name Mus musculus (house mouse). Lineage: Eukaryota; Metazoa; Chordata; Mammalia; Rodentia; Muridae. The record is from RNAcentral.
GCCAAACGUCUAAAGCUUCAUGUGCUGGGC